RNAcentral lists this long non-coding RNA (4561 nucleotides) under Oryctolagus cuniculus (rabbit). Its description in RNAcentral is "lncRNA (ENSOCUG00000033335.1)". Lineage: Eukaryota; Metazoa; Chordata; Mammalia; Lagomorpha; Leporidae. The record is from RNAcentral.
UUUAAUUCAAUGUUUUUGCAUAACAUUAAUUUUUUUUUUUUUUAGCCCUUAGCCUCUGAACUCCUUUGUCUGGUGUCCCCACAGAUACAUCUUGAAGUUCAGAGUCUCGAGAUAAAAUCUUCUAUGUCAUGGAAGAUGCAGAGUGAUGGUAUCCAUCUGGUUACCUGGAGUAGGAAAGGGGGACCAAGAAGAUUCUCUCACAGGUGUUUGAAUCCACCCCGGAUUUUCAAUAAAACUGCCUUUUCAGAGAAUAAUUUGUUUCAUCUUUUUUCCACAAAUUGGAAGAAGAUCUCUACUUUCAGAUGGGUCUACACGUUUAAACAUUCCAACAUGCUUAAUUUAAACCAGGAAGUUAAAAAUGAUGUUAGAAGUCUCCAAAAGCUGCUAGGAGAGAACUAUACUUAAUAAAUUAAAUGAAGACACUUAUUUGAGUAAAAUAUAACAACUGAUAAAUAUUUUUUUAAUGUUCCCAUAUUCAAGGGGACUUGAAAAAUUUCAUGGAAAAUGGAAUUAAAGGUAAGCUGAUUUGGGCACAAAAUAAUUUUGAAAUCAGGCAGAGUUUUUCAGACUUUGUAUUUUCCUUGAAUGUUUUAAAGACCCCUUAUUAAAAAGUACAUAGGUCUCCAAAUUACAUAAUGGAAAAGAACUGCAUCUUGACAACUUUUUUGUUUGGCUAUUACAUUAACACAAAAUAAUCUAUUUUGCUUGAACCGUUAUACAUUUAUAGGGUUUACCCAGAUGAACAUAAGCAUCAGUUUGGCUUAGGAGACUUUCCUACAUGUUUGAUUUUGUUGUUGUUGUUGUCAUUACAUGCAGCUAUAGCCUGACUUUUCUCCCCCAGCUUCCAGCCUUCCAUGUUGAGUUUACCAUUGAAAAUCUUCCUUGUGUAUGUUGAGUCUACUUUUCUGGUUCUUGUUUUUAUUGAUUGCUGAGUAUUAUUACAUUGCAUUUAUAUACUACAUUUUUUUAUUCAUUCAUUCAUCAAUAGAUAUUUAGGUUGAUUCCAUGUGCUAUCAUGGAUGAUACUUCAGUACUUUUAAUGCAGGCAUUUCUUUGCUAUACUGCUUUCAUUUCCUUUGGAAAUAUAACCACUAGUGGGGUAGCUGGAUCGCAUAGAAGUUCUAAUUUUUUUCAGAAAUGGCUGAAUUAAUUUACAUUAGCAACAGUAUAUAAUAGUUCUCCUUUUUCUUUUUUUUUUUUUUUUUUUGUUUUCUCUUCUUUGCUUUUUGGUUAUAGCCAUCCCAAUCAUGUAAUGAUGAUACCUCAUUGUGGUUAUGAUUUUCAUUUUACUGAUUGGUAACUUCUGGAUCAACAGGAGAGAAGGCCCACACUUCCUGGAAUGGGACGAAAAGUCCUUGCCAAGGUCCCCGCUGGCGCCUAAAGGUCAACCAAUGAGGAUCAGACAUACCUCAACCUUUAACCUCCACUCCCUGUAUCCAAAAAAGAAGCCCUCCCAACCUCUGAUGCGCGAUUUCCUGGCCCCUGCUCUGUUGGGACUGGGGAACCUCACCCUGGAGUGGAAUCCCAGUAAAAGCUUGUAAAUUGAUUCAUCUGGCUGGGAAUAUUUGUUAUGUGCCAGACACCUUGAAAUGAUUAGUGAUGUUGAGCAUUUUUUCAAAUACCUGUUGGCUACUUGUAUAUAUUAUUUUAAGAAAUGUAUGUCCAAUCAUUUCACCAUUUUUAAAUAAGCUUAUUAUUAUUUUGUUGAAGUUUUUAAUUGUUGAUAUAUGAGGGAUAUUGACGAAGAGCUAUAAAAUGUUAUCUCCCAUUCUGUAGAUGGUUUGUCUACUCUCUCAAUCAUUUCCUUUGCUGUGCAAAUGCUUCUUAGUUCAACAUAAUCCCAUUUGUCUCCUUCUUACUUUUGUUUUCCGUGCUUUGGGUGUCUUAACCAAAACAUUUUUGUCUGUACUGAUGUAUUAAAGUGAUUUCUGUCUUUUCUUCCCAGAGUUUCAUUGUUUCAGGUCUCACAUCUAGCUAAGUCUUUGAAUGAUUUGUGCUGAUACGUACAUAUAGUGAGAGAAAAAAACCAAAUUCUCUCCUCUGCAUAUGAAUAUCUAGUUUUUCCAGUUUCAUCUGUUGAAGAUACAAGCCUUUCCCCAAUAUCUGUUUUCAGUGUCUGUUCAAAAACUAGUUGAUGAUAGGUACCCGGGUUUUUCUAUUCUAUUCCAAGAGUUUAAGCCUUGGUUAUAUGCUAGUACCACACUGUUUUGGUUACUAUAGCUUUGUAGUAUAUUUUGAGAUCAGAGAUUGUGAUGCUGCCAGCUUUAUUUUUUUGACUUAAGAUUGUUUUGGAUAUUUGGAGUAUUUUAGGGUCCCAUAUGAAUUUCAGUAUUAAUUUAAUUUAGUUUUAUGAAGAAUGCCAUCAGUAUCUGGAUUUUCAUUGAUUAUAUAAAUAACUUUUAGUUGUAUGGACAUUGUAACAAAUUUUUUUUCUUCCGUAAUACGAAAGCUGAAAACACCCUAUGCAGCUGCCUUGCACAGGGCAGGUUCACCAGAGGCUCUUGGCGGUUAUCAGGGGCAAAGCCCCUCUAUCCAAGGGUCACGUGUGUGUCAGGUAUUGUAGAGGCCCAGUCAGGAGAGAUGCAGCUGGUGUGGCACUGUGGGCAGGAAUGCGCCAGCUACUUCUGAGGCUGACUAGGGAAAGGGAUGCUCUGGAUGAAGCAUGCUGGGCAGCACAAGUUAAGUGACCAUCAGUAUCCGAGGGUGUCUCGGGGCCAGGUUGCAUCAGUGGACCUUGACAAGGCACCCAUCAUAGUGGAGGGCAGCCCAGUUGCCUUUGUGGUGACUUAAUGGGUGGACUACUUUGCUAUGUAUAAGUGAGUGGAGCCACCCGAUAGCUAUAGUUGGGCAGGGACUUCCUAUGACACUGUGCAUUAGGAAACUGGGUUGGGGAGAGCACAGCAUGUGCUAGACCUUUUGUCUAGGUUAAUACAACAGCCCCCAUUCCCAAGCAGCUCCACACGCUGGGCACAGGGCCUGUCAGAACUGCAGGUCCCUCCAGCAGCAAGUACGUCAGAAUCCACAGCAUUACUGGGACUUCUGAAAGAUUCCUUUUGGUCCAUUCCCCACCUUGUGAUGUGCUUCUUUUUAUUUUAUUUUAUUAUUAUUUUUUUUUUGACAGGCAGAGUUAGACAGUGAGAGAGAGAGAGAGACAGAGAGAAAGGUCUUCCUUCCAUUGGUUCACCCCCCAAAUGGCUGCUACGGCUGGCGCUGUGCCGAUCCGAAGGCAGGAGCCAGGUGCUUAUCCUGGUCUCCCAUGCGGGUGCAGGGCCCAAGCACUGGGGCCAUCCUCCACUGCCUUCCUGGGCCACAGCAGAGAGCUUGUCUGGAAGAGGAGCAACCGGGACAGAAUUUGGCGCCCUAACUGGGACCAGAACCCAGGGUGCCGGCACUGCAGGCGGAGGAUUAGCCUAGUGAGCCGUGGUGGUGGCCUGAUAUGCUACUUGGUUCAGGGGUACAGUUUAAUCUGAACUGGGGACAGAGGACAAUCGAUGCUGUGUGCCUCGUUUCCUUAUUUAUAGGGCUAUCCUGAGUCUGUAUACUCUUCAGUGUCCCUGCCUCAUCCCUACUGCAUUUAAAAGCACUCUCUCUAACCCUUAAACAGAAUAGCAGUUGUUUUUUCCUUCACAUACGUUUUUUGUGUGGAGGUAAGCACAGCAGGCAACCAUUUGCUAAACAGCAAUUUUCCUAGUCCAAAAAAACCCCUGAAACAAUCUGAAUAAGAGAAUAACUAUGUUGUGCCCUGUUCAUACAGGAAGUGCUUUACAACCAAAAGAAAUGACUUUGCAUUGACUCAAAUUUUCUGAGACAUUGCAAUGAUUUUUUUUAAGUGUGAAAGCGGAGAUGCAGAGUAUAGAAUAUAAAAUGACCCUGUUUGGGCUAAAUAAUGUAAUAUUACAUUUAUAUUAAGUGGAUAUAUUAGAAUGUACAAACAUAAAUGUAUUUGAGGGUUUGUAGACAGAUUAAACUGUAAGCAGCAAAAUAAUUAACAAAUUUAGGAGGGGGUUAGGAAAGGUAUGCAUACCAGAGGUCAGGGAUCUGAAGGGUCAUCUGAUUCCAUCUAUCACAAUUUUGCACAGUGGGUGAAAUGCAAAAGCUUAAGGAUUAUGAUUCAAUUUUGAUAUCUGGGUAUAUACAUGAACAUAUAUAACUACAUAAAAAGAUACAUGAAAGAAUAGUCACAAAUAUCAUUGAUAAUUGAGUUAAGGAGGUGAGAUUUUUGUUAUAUCUAAGGUAAUUACUGUGACUGGCAUUGUGGUAUAGCAGGUAAAGCUGCACCUCUGAUGCCAGCAUACCAUGUAGUUGCCAAUUCCUAUUCUUGCUGCUCCACUUCCAACCUAGUUCCUUGCUAAUGGGCUGGAAAAAUCAACGAAAGACGGCACAAGUGCUGUGUCCCUGUCAUUCACAUGGGAGAUCCUGAUGACGUUCCUGGCUCCUGGCUUUUCAGCUCUGGCCAUGUGUCCAUCUGGAGAGUGAACCAGUGGAUGGAAGAUUUCACUCUGUCUCUUUCUGUAACUGACUUUCAAAUAAAUGAAUAAAUCUUAAAAAAAAAAAACUUACA